This 350-nucleotide unclassified non-coding RNA is filed under the name soil metagenome. Its description in RNAcentral is "partial contains 5.8S ribosomal RNA, internal transcribed spacer 2, and large subunit ribosomal RNA". The stretch from base 1 to 120 matches the Rfam family "5.8S ribosomal RNA", at positions 35 to 154 of the family's 154-position model. The record is from RNAcentral.
GAUGAAGAACGCAGUGAAAUGCGAUAAGUAAUGUGAAUUGCAGAAUUCAGUGAAUCAUCGAAUCUUUGAACGCACAUUGCGCCCGCCAGUAUUCUGGCGGGCAUGCCUGUUCGAGCGUCAUUACAACCCUCAGGCCCCCGGGCCUGGCGUUGGGGAUCGGCGGAGCCCCCCGUGGGCACACGCCGUCCCCCAAAUGCAGUGGCGGUCCCGCCGCAGCUUCCAUCGCGUAGUAGCUAACACCUCGCGACUGGAGAGCGGCGCGGCCACGCCGUAAAACACCCAACUCUUCUGAAGUUGACCUCGAAUCAGGUAGGAAUACCCGCUGAACUUAAGCAUAUAUAAGCGGAGGA